RNAcentral lists this ribosomal RNA (1551 nucleotides) under Klebsiella pneumoniae. Its description in RNAcentral is "bacterial SSU rRNA". It matches the Rfam family "Bacterial small subunit ribosomal RNA". Lineage: Bacteria; Pseudomonadati; Pseudomonadota; Gammaproteobacteria; Enterobacterales; Enterobacteriaceae. The record is from RNAcentral.
AAAUUGAAGAGUUUGAUCAUGGCUCAGAUUGAACGCUGGCGGCAGGCCUAACACAUGCAAGUCGAGCGGUAGCACAGAGAGCUUGCUCUCGGGUGACGAGCGGCGGACGGGUGAGUAAUGUCUGGGAAACUGCCUGAUGGAGGGGGAUAACUACUGGAAACGGUAGCUAAUACCGCAUAAUGUCGCAAGACCAAAGUGGGGGACCUUCGGGCCUCAUGCCAUCAGAUGUGCCCAGAUGGGAUUAGCUAGUAGGUGGGGUAACGGCUCACCUAGGCGACGAUCCCUAGCUGGUCUGAGAGGAUGACCAGCCACACUGGAACUGAGACACGGUCCAGACUCCUACGGGAGGCAGCAGUGGGGAAUAUUGCACAAUGGGCGCAAGCCUGAUGCAGCCAUGCCGCGUGUGUGAAGAAGGCCUUCGGGUUGUAAAGCACUUUCAGCGGGGAGGAAGGCGGUGAGGUUAAUAACCUCAUCGAUUGACGUUACCCGCAGAAGAAGCACCGGCUAACUCCGUGCCAGCAGCCGCGGUAAUACGGAGGGUGCAAGCGUUAAUCGGAAUUACUGGGCGUAAAGCGCACGCAGGCGGUCUGUCAAGUCGGAUGUGAAAUCCCCCGGGCUCAACCUGGGAACUGCAUUCGAAACUGGCAGGCUAGAGUCUUGUAGAGGGGGGUAGAAUUCCAGGUGUAGCGGUGAAAUGCGUAGAGAUCUGGAGGAAUACCGGUGGCGAAGGCGGCCCCCUGGACAAAGACUGACGCUCAGGUGCGAAAGCGUGGGGAGCAAACAGGAUUAGAUACCCUGGUAGUCCACGCCGUAAACGAUGUCGAUUUGGAGGUUGUGCCCUUGAGGCGUGGCUUCCGGAGCUAACGCGUUAAAUCGACCGCCUGGGGAGUACGGCCGCAAGGUUAAAACUCAAAUGAAUUGACGGGGGCCCGCACAAGCGGUGGAGCAUGUGGUUUAAUUCGAUGCAACGCGAAGAACCUUACCUGGUCUUGACAUCCACAGAACUUUCCAGAGAUGGAUUGGUGCCUUCGGGAACUGUGAGACAGGUGCUGCAUGGCUGUCGUCAGCUCGUGUUGUGAAAUGUUGGGUUAAGUCCCGCAACGAGCGCAACCCUUAUCCUUUGUUGCCAGCGGUCCGGCCGGGAACUCAAAGGAGACUGCCAGUGAUAAACUGGAGGAAGGUGGGGAUGACGUCAAGUCAUCAUGGCCCUUACGACCAGGGCUACACACGUGCUACAAUGGCAUAUACAAAGAGAAGCGACCUCGCGAGAGCAAGCGGACCUCAUAAAGUAUGUCGUAGUCCGGAUUGGAGUCUGCAACUCGACUCCAUGAAGUCGGAAUCGCUAGUAAUCGUAGAUCAGAAUGCUACGGUGAAUACGUUCCCGGGCCUUGUACACACCGCCCGUCACACCAUGGGAGUGGGUUGCAAAAGAAGUAGGUAGCUUAACCUUCGGGAGGGCGCUUACCACUUUGUGAUUCAUGACUGGGGUGAAGUCGUAACAAGGUAACCGUAGGGGAACCUGCGGUUGGAUCACCUCCUUACCUUAAAGAA